UAAAAAAUGAUAACAAAAGGAAUGGCAAAUCGACAAUACAAAAAAGUGCCAAACCAAGUUAUCCUGAAUUCCACAUCCUCGGGGAGGGCAAAGGUUCUAGAAUCUUGUAUGCUUCAAAUACUACAUAAUCUUGCUGAAACAGAAACA
Non-coding RNA from Cicer arietinum (chickpea), 147 nucleotides. NCBI's taxonomy places the organism in Eukaryota, Viridiplantae, Streptophyta, Magnoliopsida, Fabales, Fabaceae. The record is from RefSeq and is a predicted model, not a curated record.